UUGUUACUUUAUUAAUAACAAAGAAAAGUAUUAAGUACAUAUUUUUAAGGGGAACAACAAUUAUUUAAUAUUAUAAAAUGUUUAUAUUGAUAAUUUUUCUAAUAAACCACAUUAUUAUGGAAGAUGAUAGAUAUAAACACCAAUACAAAUAUGAAACAUUAACUCAAAUUGGUAGAAUAAUAGAUUGCGCACAGGUCUAUUCAAGUUUCCUUGACUAGCCAAUGAGAAGGAUUUUGCAAUUAAAAUAUAAAACAUUAAGUGUCACCCUCAUAAAACGGGCCUAUAAAAGAGCGAUUUUUGGCUCAUUUAGCACCUCAUUUUUUUUUUCUAAAAGUUUGGUCAUGAAGUAUCUUUGAACCAGAAUAUUUCGCGAUUGUGCUCUCUAUGAUUUAAAAUUUUUUUUUAUACUUGGUGUUUAUUAUCUAAAUAUCUUAUAAGUAAUGUAAUAAAGACAAUAAUAACUUAAACUUUUUAUUUUGUUUAUUUUUUUUAAUUUUAAAUUAUUAUGAAUUAAUAUUUUUUUUAUUUUGUAUUUUGUGAGUUGUUCCAAUUAAGAAUUUUUAAUAAGUGCAUUUCGAAAAUCUACCUUAGCACAUCAAGUGGUUAAAACUGUUGGUAAAACAAUGGUUUAUGGCAUGUCACUAAAGAGAUCGUAGAGUGUAUCUUAAAUUUGAAUAGAUAAGUGUUUGAUUGAUUGCACAAGGUGCUGAUGUUUUAUUGAAGUCAUUACCCUAGCACAUCAGGCGGUUGAAAUUAUUGGUAAAACAAUAGUUUGUGACGUGUGCACUAGGGAUUGGUUCUCAUAAUCUAUCUGGUUACUUAAAUUUUCAUUUUAAAAUAUAAAGUAACACAAAUAUUCAAACACCAGGUAUAGAAAGGAACUACAGUGAAGUAAUAUUUCAAGUUUAAUAAUUUGCAUAAUUUUACAAAAAUAAAUAAGUAGAUAAAAGUCAGUGCUCUCUUUAUAUAUUUAUAUUUUUUUUGACGCAAUAAACGAUCAAGCUAGCUGGACACAAGUAGGGAGUGCGAUCGUCCCGUCGUCCAAGCCACGAUCCGUCACUGAUAAAUGCCAUUAGGGAGAUGCCCCUCGGAAAAAAUUUGAUACGUACAAGCCAUGCAAAGCUUAAACGGCUGAACAAAUUAAAUGAAUUGUACAAGUUUAAACGAAAAUUUAUUUUACGCGUAUAAGAGCGAUGGAAGUGUUUUUGUAAUUGAAAUACAUUAUAUAAAAGCUAAAAAUAGAACACGUAUAAUAGUAUGGCGGUUAGCAUGUUACAGUAAUAUUUCAUAAGUAGAAUUUUGUACGCGGCGUCUUAUAAAUUUUAUAUCAUUUCAAACAACUGGUGAUUAUGUACAAACAGAUGAAAUUGCGCGUUAUAAUUACAUUUUCUUCGAAAACGAAAUAUGUUUAAUUUAAUGAGUAAUAAUUUAAUAUAACAUUACUUACUAAGAAUUCCACGAAAUGCAGAAACGAAAUAUAAUAAAAAACGAUAACAAUAUUACACUAAUGACAAAGAAAAGUUUUAAAAUAAUGUUUCAAUGAUAAAAAUUAUUAUUUCUAAUAAAAAAACCAAAAACUAUUUUUUCUCCAGUAAAUUGUGUUUGUUUUAAGUAGCAUGAUUUUGAAUUAAAUACAAUGGGUAAAAUAUACUUUAAUGCGUCAAUAAUGAGAUAACGUCAAUGAUUAAUUAUGGUUGUAAACGUUGUUAUAAAGAAUAUUUCUAAAUACACUACUGUAUACACUCUUUUAAUUUUAUAAUAGUUUGUUAUAACCGGGGCUCGGGACUUAUAGCAUUUGCUAGAUAAUGCUUUUUUUUGCUAUUUUUGAUGAUUUUUUCAAAAAACGCUUAUUUUCAGUUUUUUCUGAUUUUUUCGAUGAUACAAUAAAAAACAAAUGCUUGUUUCUUGUUUUCUCUGUUUUUGUACAUUAAAAUAUUUUCUUUAUGACGCAGCCUACCCAAGUUUUUUUUAUCGGUUUUUGAUAGAUCUAAAGCCGGAUUCCCACGACUGGUGUACUUGCCAAAUAUUUGUCACUUGUGUACACUUGUCAAGCCGUCGGAACACUAUACUUGUACAAUUAUUGGUCACUUGUCAGUUUCCCGCAGAUUGUCGGUAAAUGUAACACAAGUCAAAGGAAUUAAUGGCUUGACAAGUUUACACUUGUAGUUCACUAGUGCACACUUGUGUACUUGUCAAAUACUUAUCCAAUAUUUGAUUUUAGGGUGGCUAUCGGUAACACAAUUUUUUCUUCCCCGCCCACCUAUAUUUGUGUAGUACAGCGGUGGUUUAUGUUGGCCUAAUUAGUUGAUUUAAUUUAAUAGAUAAGUAAAACUAUUUUAUAGUAUAAUUGUAAAUAUAAUUUAAUAGUUAAGGUUGAUUACAUAAUGUAUUAAUUAUAUAACUUAUUAAUUUAUGAAUGUUAAGUAUAAAGUAGAUAUUAUUGGAUAGUUUAAUAUUUUACUAAAAUGUUUAUAUUUGUAAAAUUCUGUUUCAUUUUUGCAAGUAAAAAAUUAUAUACGGUGCGUAGCUGAAACACUAUUAGUUAAAGAACUAUUUUAACUAAAAAAAUUAAUCUAAAAAGUUUAAAAACUAGCAAUACUAAAAAAUGUAUUUUAAAUCACUCACUGAAACGUCCAAACACUGCAGCGCAAAAAUGAUACAUGACUUAAUAUUUUUCAGGUCCCACCCCCAAUACAAUUAUUUGGCAUUUGAUCCAGUCGUAGGAAUAGUAUACUUGGCUUUUAUUUAUUACUUGUACAAGUGUACAAGUACUGGUAUACUUGUCAAGUAUACACUUGUUAAUAAUUGGAUGAUUUGGCAAGUAUACAAUUAUUGGUGUACUUGGCAAGUACACCAGUCGUGGGAAUCCGGCUUAAUAAGGAAAAUAAUUCAAUUGCCUUCCUUGUUUGUAGGAUUUUGUCUUUGUUAUCUUAUCUACUUGAUAGCCAACGCCGUCCUCGGCAUCGUUAACCUCUUUGGCUAUGGUUGAAGUGUCAUACUAGUGUGGUACUUGUUUAAUUUCCUUUUUAUAAUGGAUUUCUCGGUAAACAAUAUUUUUAGACCGUUAUGGCAUACUGGGAUAUCAACACAAAUUUAUAUUUAAUUUUUCAAAAAAUCCAUAAACAAGAUAUUAUUUAACAUUUCUUGUCAUUCCACUUGAAAGCCGACGUCAGACAUCAUUUUGAUUCUUUCAAAAUUAAUAUUUUAUAUAUAUUUUUUUUUAUAUUUUUAAUUUUAAUUAAAAGAAUAAAUUAAUAUUCAGUUUUCAUGUACCUAUAAUUCUACAAUCCAUUUUGCUUAUCAUACAAGUGGCUCAAUGUUAUAUUUAUAAUAUUAUUAUUUAAAAAAAAUUUAAACUUCGAAUAGCUACUACAAUGGUAUGUGCCACGAAAAAAUGCAGCUGAAUAACUAUUAGAUAUGAUAGGAGCCUUCUUUCUUACCAUUUAGCCUCUAAGAUACGUUUUUUGUGAUCUACAGUAUAGCAGUAGUUAUUCGAAGUUUUUUAUUUAAAUAAAUAAUUAUUUUAAUAUUACAACAUAGAGUCACUUUUAAGGUUAAGAAAAAUGGAUUGUAGAAUUAUAGGUACAUAAAAACUUAAUAAUAUUGUUUGUUUAACAAAAUCUAUUAAUAUUAUAAGAUUAAAAGAGUGUACACAGUAACGUAUAGAAUUUAACUUGGGGUGGGUAAUACAUAAGAAUCAUAUCUUAUUCCCUCUUGACAUAAUAACGAAACUAUGCAAUUUUUUAGCUUUAGGAUAUUUAGGAUUAUUUGACAACUUCUUUAAAAGGUUAGUUUACAAAAAUGUUAAAAUUAAAUUAAUUUUCUAAAAUUAUUGUAAAUAUAUAGAAUGUCUUAGACCAAACUGAUAACGCUUAUAACUUUUAAUAUAAUUAUUUUGUUGAAAUUUUUAAAAAAUAAUAAUUGUCUUUAUAGACUGCGUUUAAAGCAUAUUUUGUAUUAUUUAUCACUAAUAAAAUUAACAUUUUUAUUAUUACAGUUUUUUUUUCUUCAAAAUAGCCUUUUUUAGUCUUUUUCUUAAAAAAAAUGUUGAUAGGUCGAUAAUAAUUUUAGAAUUAUUACUAGUAGAGUUACAAGCGUUUUAAUGCAUUGAGUGGGUAUCGAACGCGGGUGGAGUUAAUAAUAAAUUUAUAUAUCAAGAGUCUGGCGGCGAAGUGUCCGGGUCCGGUCCCGCGUCGCGUCGUGAUACACGAUGCCACAUUUAUCAGCCCUUGCCCUACUAUGAAUAUUUGACUGACCAACACCGCGUGUCAUACGCCACGGUGCAAAGUCCAACAAGUGUCGCACGGCCGGCGACUACCCGCCACAAACGAUACGGUAGUCUUCUUCCCGUUGUCUAAGUGACGACGUCGAGGAUGUACGCCACCGGCUCCGGACGUGCUGCACGACCGGACUCGACGAACCCAACCGCAACCGCGCACCCGUCGUCAUCAACGCUGCUAACUUUUCGACAUCCGAGGAUCAUGCCGGACACCGCGUCGCGGACGCCAGCGAAAGAACAGUGAUAUGAUGCGAAGAUUAUUAUUAACUGUGUUCGUCUUUUCGGUUUGUUUGUUUCUUUAAAUAACCUGUUGUUGUUGAUAAUAAAUGGCCUGCGGGUCUCUACCCUCAAAAACAGUGCCGACUACAUUAUUACGACGUAAGUCGUGUCAGAUGUCAUAAUAUUGGUUUGUUUAUAUGUAUUUCAAACAGUGUUGGGGUACAGUAACGCUAAAUGACUUCGAAGGGUUCCAAAAUGAGUAUCAUAAAAAGUACAGUAAGUAAUCACCUUGAAAACUGUAUCUUUAUAAAUUUUGUUUAUAUUAUUUAUUUUUAGUACUCAAGCUUAAUUCCUUUUGUGUAUAUAUAGUCUUAUCAUUAAAUUUACAUAUGUCUGAAUUAUUUGAAUUAAUAUUUCAUUAUAGUUUUAUUAAUAAAAUACUACAAUAUCGUAUUACAAUUUAAUUUUAUUGAAAAAUGUUCCAUUUUUUAAAUAUCGCUUAUUUAAUUUAAAAAGGCAGCAAUAUAUUGUUGGUAUACAGGGCGAUUCCUUAAUUACGUCUCACUUAAUUUCUUUGAUAACUUAAAUGAAAUAAAAACUUUUUUUUACAAAACUUUCGUAUAUUCCUAUGCACUCCAGUUAUAUAAAAAUAUUUAGAUCUAUCCAUUCCUCUACUCCCUCAAAAUUAAAUCAACAUUGAAGAAUCAUCCAGUUAAGAAAAUAACUGAUAGAUUACAUUUUUUCAUCCAGUAUUUUGAAUAUAAUUAAUUUUAUAUGUUGUUAUUUAAAAAAAUCAAGUUGAAUUCAUUUUGAAAGACAGAUGAGACGAUAUAACUAUAUAUUUUUAUCAAAAUUAUAUAACAGAACAUUUGUUUUAUUUUUCCUUAUAUUUAUAUAUAUAUCGAAUGAGAUGUAGUUAAAGAAUUACUCUGUAUUGAUUAUAGAAAUAUUAGUGAGGUAAAACCUAAGUUUAUUAUAUACCUAAAAAUAGAUAAUCUGUGACAAUAGUUGUAGGCCAAAAAAUUUUUUUACUGGUCGUGUAACACGUUUUAAAUAAAUUGACUAAAAAUACCUCAAAAAACAAAAUUCACUAAAUCACUAAAUUUUUGGUAAAUAUCAAAAAUAACAAAUAUAUUUUGUAUUAUUAUUAGUAAAUAACACCAAUAUAAAAUAAAAUUGUUAACGUUAUAACUGAAAAUGAUUUCUAUUAUUCUCAUUAGCUGUAAUAAUUGAACCGUAUCCUUAUUUUUUUAAUAGUCUGUAUAAGGAGGCUUGUUCCUCAGGUGCAAAUAAUAGUCAGAGUAACAAAAAAUAAAUUGUUGAAUAUCUCUAACUUUUGAUUUUAUCAAUAAAAAAAUUUAAGUUUUAUACUUGUAGCUAAGUGAAAAAAAAAUUAAUCACUUAAAAUACACGUAAUUGUUAAUAAAUGUAAGAAUUUAAAAUAAAAUAAUAUAUUUUUUAUUAAGUUUUCGCCUUAUAAAUGUACCCAUUAAUCACGAAUUUUUGGUAAUUACGUAAUCAAUUUGUAUUGGGAAUUUUAAAACUAAAACAGCCACGUUAUUCAAUUAAAAUAAUACAAAAUCAUAGUUAUGCUGUUUAUAAUAUUCAACUAAAAAUUCAAUGGUUUAAGUAAAUUUUGUUUUUUGGUGGGCAUUUUGGUCAAUCUAUUUUAAGCGCGUCGCGUGGUAAUUAAAAAAAAAAGAUGUUUAAUCUCAUUUUUUCAUAGAUUGUCUAUUUAGAAAUAUAGAAUAUGCUUAGGAGGUAUGCCACUCACUUUUCGAAGAUUGACUUACUUUGCGCCACUCUAACCUGUACAUCGAACUGUUACUGGUUCGAUACUGAGCCGGACGACCUAUUAUUUAUUAUGAAAUAAUUUUAAAAAUGUAUUCCAAAUGAAUCCAAACAAAUGUUUUAAUACACGAGCAGAAAAAGCGCUGGUCCGAUUAUAACUAAAAAAGAAUGCCUAAUUUAACAAAUUAUACAAUAUGUUCUUACAGAGAUUGGGUACAAAUAUUUCAACAACAAAUCUUUUGGGUUCUACUAGUUGUGCCAAUAUCUAGAGAUAUAGAGAGUACCUAUGAACUACAGAAGUAGAGUUUCAACUGAUGUACAUGAAGUUGGCGGUGCAAACGAUGGGAAUACUGAAAUAUGGAGAUGGAAAUCCGGACUACACGAUUAAUGAAAAUGGAGUUGGUGAAAUACCGAAUGUGAAUAGUGAAAAUAAAUUAGAGGUGUAAACAGGAUAUGGAUAUGGAGCUAGAGAGCCAAACUAUUCAAAUAAUGGAAAUAGAGUUGGUGAAAUAGCCAACACGAACAGUGGAUGUGGAGUUGGUGGUACAACCAGUAUGAACACUGGAAAUUUGGUUAGAGAUACAACCAACACGAAUCAUGUAAAUGGAGUUAGACGCAAAUUAUCAAACCAAAACUUCUUCUCAGAAAGAAAUAAUCAAUCAAUCCAGAAAACAGUUAAUGGAAUCGCUUGAAAACCACUGGCGCUAACCGGAUGGUAGAUGUCUUAGA
Long non-coding RNA from Daktulosphaira vitifoliae (grape phylloxera), 7018 nucleotides. RefSeq lists it as uncharacterized. The transcript has 3 exons. The record is from RefSeq and is a predicted model, not a curated record. NCBI's taxonomy places the organism in Eukaryota, Metazoa, Arthropoda, Insecta, Hemiptera, Phylloxeridae.